RNAcentral lists this ribosomal RNA (309 nucleotides) under uncultured eukaryote. RNAcentral's name for it is "partial 18S ribosomal RNA". It matches the Rfam family "Eukaryotic small subunit ribosomal RNA", at positions 1470 to 1796 of the family's 1831-position model. The record is from RNAcentral.
CCCUUAGAUGUUCUGGGCGGCCCGCGCACUACAAUGGCGUGUGCAGCGAGUGCCGAAGUAGAGUUUUCCGAGGUAUUCUUGCAAUGCUCGUUUUGAUGGGGAUAGACCCUUGCAACUGUUGGUUUUGAACGAGGAAUUCCUUGUAAGCAUGGUUUAUCAUCCGACGCUGAAUGCGUCCCUGCCCUUUGUACACGCCGCCCGUCGCUCCUACCGAUGAAUCGUCCGGUGAAGUUCACAGAGUGGCGGUUCGUGGAGUUGCUCGCGAAGUGAAAUGGACCUCACGAUUUAGAGGAAGGAGAAGUCGUAACA